AGCAAAAGCGUGCAUGUGUAUGUAAAUAAAUUUCAUUUAACUUAUGAUUUUGUAAUAAAAUUCUAUAAUAUUAAUAGGAUUUUAUACAUAUCCGUUUUACCCCAUUUUAGAUUUUUGUUUAUCAAUAUUGUUACAUCAUGGUCCAACUAAUAAAUUUACAUCAUUAUUCUUGCAGAUCAUAAAUUAACCAACAUGUUCAGAGUAUUUGGACACCAGAGACUAGUAAAAAACAGAGAUAUAAAACCGGAGUCCUUUUGGGACUCCGCAUCUCUGAUUAUACUAAUAUUUGUGCAUGUCAAGAUAAUAGUAUUUCGAUUUCAAAAUGCAGCUAAAGAGAUUCAUCUUGACAUCGAAAAAUCACGAGGCUUGCGAGCUGCAGGUUGUACUCCUUGUAUAAACGUUUAAACAAUGUAAUGUAGACAAUGUAUUUA
Hydra vulgaris (swiftwater hydra) is the source of this 431-nucleotide non-coding RNA. The record is from RefSeq and is a predicted model, not a curated record. NCBI's taxonomy places the organism in Eukaryota, Metazoa, Cnidaria, Hydrozoa, Anthoathecata, Hydridae.